ACGGGUGAGUAACGCGUGGGAAUCUACCCAUUGACUACGGAAUAACGCAGGGAAACUUGUGCUAAUACCGUAUGUGUCCUUCGGGAGAAAGAUUUAUCGGUCAAGGAUGAGCCCGCGUUGGAUUAGCUAGUUGGUGGGGUAAAGGCCUACCAAGGCGACGAUCCAUAGCUGGUCUGAGAGGAUGAUCAGCCACAUUGGGACUGAGACACGGCCCAAACUCCUACGGGAGGCAGCAGUGGGGAAUAUUGGACAAUGGGCGCAAGCCUGAUCCAGCCAUGCCGCGUGAGUGAUGAAGGCCCUAGGGUUGUAAAGCUCUUUCACCGGAGAAGAUAAUGACGGUAUCCGGAGAAGAAGCCCCGGCUAACUUCGUGCCAGCAGCCGCGGUAAUACGAAGGGGGCUAGCGUUGUUCGGAAUUACUGGGCGUAAAGCGCACGUAGGCGGAUCGAUCAGUCAGGGGUGAAAUCCCAGGGCUCAACCCUGGAACUGCCUUUGAUACUGUCGAUCUGGAGUAUGGAAGAGGUGAGUGGAA
Molecule: ribosomal RNA, 530 nt
Filed under: Rhizobium sp. P1.37
Lineage: Bacteria; Pseudomonadati; Pseudomonadota; Alphaproteobacteria; Hyphomicrobiales; Rhizobiaceae
Description: bacterial SSU rRNA
Rfam family: Bacterial small subunit ribosomal RNA
Source: RNAcentral